Molecule: ribosomal RNA, 253 nt
Filed under: uncultured bacterium
Lineage: Bacteria
Description: partial 16S ribosomal RNA
Rfam family: Bacterial small subunit ribosomal RNA
Source: RNAcentral
UACGUAGGGUGCAAGCGUUGUCCGGAAUUAUUGGGCGUAAAGAGCUCGUAGGCGGUCUGUCGCGUCGGCUGUGAAAACCCGGGGCUCAACCCCGGGCCUGCAGUCGAUACGGGCAGACUAGAGUGCGGUAGGGGAGACUGGAAUUCCUGGUGUAGCGGUGAAAUGCGCAGAUAUCAGGAGGAACACCGGUGGCGAAGGCGGGUCUCUGGGCCGUAACUGACGCUGAUGCACGAAAGCUAGGGGAGCAAACAGG